This 1847-nucleotide long non-coding RNA is filed under the name Homo sapiens (human). Its description in RNAcentral is "HSALNT0165630". Lineage: Eukaryota; Metazoa; Chordata; Mammalia; Primates; Hominidae. The record is from RNAcentral.
CUCAAACUCCUGGCCUCAGGUGAUCCGCCCGCCUCAGCCUCCCAAAGUGCUGCGAUUACAGGUGUGAGCCACUGCGCCCGGCCUAAUUUCUUCUUUCUAUUUUUCUUUAAUCACUGACUUGUCCUGUUCCAGGUUUUUAAAUCAAAAACUAAGUUCAUUUAUUUACAAAAUUUCUAAUUUUUUAAUUUCUAAGUUCAUUAAUAGUCAAUGCUUAUUAUUGUAUUAGCAAGGAAUGUCCAGAGAAAAAUAACCAAUAGAAGACUGGGGAAAAAAGAGAGAGAGGAUUCAUUAGAAGGUAUAUUGGGUUAAAUGGUUAUGAAGGCUGAGAAGUCCCACAGUCGGCUGUCUUUAAGCUGGAGACAGAGGAAAGACUAUAGUGUGGUUUGAAGGCCUGAGAUCCAGAUGCAACUCCUUGACCUUGGACUUCUAAGCCUCCAUAACUAUGAGAAAUGAAUUCCUUUUUUUUUAAAUAUAUAUUACUCAGUUCCAAGUAUUCUGUUAAACGCAACAGAAAACAGACUAAGCCACAGUCUGUGUCUGAAGGCCUGAGAACCGAGAAAGCCAAAGGCAGGAGAUCAAAGUCCCAACUGAAGCCAUCAGGCAGAGGGUGAAUUCAACUCUACCUUUUUGUUCUAUUCAGGCCCUCAGAGAAUGAAAUGAUUCCCACUCACAGUGAGCGGGGCGGGGUAGGCAUCUGCUUUACUCAGUCCACCAAUUCAAAUGCUCAUCUCUUCCAGAAACACCAUUACAGACACACCCGGAAAUAAUGUUUAACCAGCUAUCUUGGCAUCCCAUUGCUCAGAUGUUUAUGAGUUUAUGGGCUCCCUUCUCUGCUUGCUUCUUUGUACUUUGCUGAAAUCGUGGAGUGAAAACUUCAGCAUUGCAUUGGCCUUAUACAAUAUUGUAUUCAUCUGAGCAGUGGGAAAAUCAUAUCAUCAAAUAUUAAGCAGUCGGGCCUUAUACCUGACUCAGGAAGCCGGCUCUUUGGAAUGGAACAGGCAGUAGAAAAUGCAUGCCCCAAAGACACACUGGCAAUCAGUUCUGGACCUUCAAGCACAGCUGUGUAGAAGGGAUCUAGAGCACUCACUAAUGUAACCUGUUAAGUGCUCCUUCAGGGGCCACCGUCAUACGUAACUCAUGUCAGUGCUGAGGCCGAGGUCCUUCAGUGUUGAAGUAGAGAGUCUUCAGAGCCUGGGGUGUGUCUCCUCCCAAGCAACAGCUACGUCCAGGGACAAAUCGACUUCACAUUUAGUGUCUCUCAUCAAGGGAAAAGGACAGAGAGAGAAUAAGGAGGGAGGAGGAGAAGAAAGAAAGGAAUAAGAAGGGGGAAUGAAGAUGUGACAGAAAAGAGGCAGAUGAAUUUUAAAAAGGACAAAGAGAAUAAAAUGAGAAAGGGGAAAAAUACAAAACAAGAGAAUGUCAAAUGAAAAAUGAGGGCGGAAAAGUGUUAAAGAAAACAAUGCAAAUGAAGGGAGAAAGCUGCAAAUGUCUGUAUGCUGACUGGGUGGUGCCUGUGGUUGCUUUCUUGUCACUUCCAAGAAAAGUCUGGAAAUUCACUCAGAAUUUUGAGUUGCCUUCAGGUUCACACAUUUUCGGUAAGGAAUUAGAUGAAAGUGCAAGAUGCUGCCUUAAAUUUACUUCUUAGUUUAUUUCCAGGAAUCUUAAGAUCAUCCUGGGGCCUGGGAAGAAGCCUGUCAGUGAAACCCUCACCAAGUAUUUCACUCGGGAGAAAUCCAAGUGCAGGGCUUGUCAAAGGGAGGAAAAUCCUUAAAGUAGAGGAGACAGUUAGCUGAGAGUCUCAGGUGGAUACUCAUUCUAUAAUUUACCACUGACCCAGUCCCCUACCU